CAGUAGCCGCGGGAAUACGUAGGUGGCAAGCGUUGUCCGGAAUUAUUGGGCGUAAAGGGCUCGCAGGCGGUUUGAUAAGUCUGAAGUUAAAGGCUGUGGCUCAACCAUAGUUCGCUUUGGAAACUGUCAAACUUGAGUGCAGAAGGGGAGAGUGGAAUUCCAUGUGUAGCGGUGAAAUGCGUAGAGAUGUGGAGGAACACCAGUGGCGAAGGCGACUCUCUGGUCUGUAACUGACGCUGAUGUGCGAAAGCGUGGGGAUCAAACAGGAUUAGAUACCCGCGUAGUCCCUGUCUCUUAUACA
Molecule: ribosomal RNA, 301 nt
Filed under: uncultured bacterium
Lineage: Bacteria
Description: partial 16S ribosomal RNA
Rfam family: Bacterial small subunit ribosomal RNA
Source: RNAcentral